CACGGGGGGAGCAAGCGUUGUUCGGAAUCACUGGGCGUAAAGGGCGUGCAGGCGGUCAGGUAAGUGGGAUGUGAAAUGCCCCGGCUCACCCGGGGACCGGCAUCUCAUACUGCUUGGCUUGAGUACGGGAGAGGAUGUGGGAAUUCCUGGUGUAGCGGUGAAAUGCGUAGAUAUCAGGAGGAACACCGGUGGCGAAGGCAGCCAUCUGGACCGACACUGACGCUGAGGCGCGAAAGCGUGGGGAGCAAACAGG
RNAcentral lists this ribosomal RNA (253 nucleotides) under uncultured bacterium. Its description in RNAcentral is "partial 16S ribosomal RNA". It matches the Rfam family "Bacterial small subunit ribosomal RNA", at positions 524 to 776 of the family's 1533-position model. The record is from RNAcentral.